This 301-nucleotide ribosomal RNA is filed under the name uncultured bacterium. Its description in RNAcentral is "partial 16S ribosomal RNA". It matches the Rfam family "Bacterial small subunit ribosomal RNA", at positions 509 to 808 of the family's 1533-position model. The record is from RNAcentral.
CAGUCGCCGCGGUAAAACGAAGGGUGCAAGCGUUACUCGGAAUUACUGGGCGUAAAGCGUGCGUAGGUGGUGGUUUAAGUCCGUUGUGAAAGCCCUGGGCUCAACCUGGGAAUUGCAGUGGAUACUGGGUCACUAGAGUGUGGUAGAGGAUAGUGGAAUUUCCGGUGUAGCAGUGAAAUGCGUAGAGAUCGGAAGGAACAUCUGUGGCGAAGGCGACUAUCUGGGCCAACACUGACACUGAGGCACGAAAGCGUGGGGAGCAAACAGGAUUAGAUACCCCUGUAGUCCCGUCUCUUAUACA